Molecule: non-coding RNA, 176 nt
Filed under: human gut metagenome
Source: RNAcentral
UCACGACGGUUCGCCGUAACGGCGAUGAAAAGGGAACGGGGUGAGAAUCCCCGACAGACCCGCUGCUGUAUUUCCUGUAUUAUCGGAGCCAACAAGUCACUGAUCCGGGCAAGAGUGCCAUAGGGUUGGGAAGACGGUUCCGGAAUGGGAUAAGUCAGAAGACCUGCCGCCAUAAU